UUCCGUCUUCGGUAGGUGAACCUGCGGAGGGAUCAUUA
Molecule: ribosomal RNA, 38 nt
Filed under: Podospora bulbillosa
Lineage: Eukaryota; Fungi; Ascomycota; Sordariomycetes; Sordariales; Podosporaceae
Description: partial 18S ribosomal RNA
Source: RNAcentral